RNAcentral lists this long non-coding RNA (616 nucleotides) under Malus domestica (apple). RNAcentral describes it as "long non-coding RNA (MDOM_LNC001529)". The record is from RNAcentral. Lineage: Eukaryota; Viridiplantae; Streptophyta; Magnoliopsida; Rosales; Rosaceae.
AAGGAGCUUCAUAUUUGUAGCCGUUAGAUCAAAUUUUAAGAGUCCGGAUUAAUUGAUUGGGUGGAUUUGAUGGAAUGGAUCCGAAGAAGAUCCAUUUCCCUCCAAAAUGGCAACUGUGUAACUGUGUUUAUGGACCAGCAAUUGAUGAUGGCAUACGUGUACUGCAAACAUGGGUAGUUUGAUGUUAUAAUCUACUUUUUGCCAAAUAUAUAUGACCCAUAUAUUUAAUAUCUGUUGCUCUAAAUAAAGAUGUCGUUCUUGAAUUUAUAUUCUGCUUUUUGAUAAGGAGUAGGCUUUCAAUGUGACAAUCACACAAGCAAAUGACAUGUUUUUGUCUAUCAGUAUUAUACUAUUCAACGAAAUAUUAACAUUGUAGUUUGUUCAUAUUAUAAUAUAUAAAUCAAUAAUACAAUGCGACGUUGUCAAUCAACGAAAAUGCCACAAUGGCAGACUUAGAGAAAAGAGUCUAUAGGCAUAAUUACGAGAUUAUUUUACGUGCUGUCUGUGGAGUCAAAUAUAAUCACAAGGCGACACGUGGAUUUUUGGGUAAAAGAUGACAAAAAUACCCUUGAGGCAUACCGGGAUUCCUACACGCGAGCAGCGAACAAUGAUCCGU